GGUCCCAUAGCUCAGCUGGAUAGAGCAACUGCCUUCUAAGCAGUAGGCCUUUGGUUCGAAUCCAAAUGGGAUCA
Molecule: transfer RNA, 74 nt
Filed under: Adhaeribacter terrigena
Lineage: Bacteria; Pseudomonadati; Bacteroidota; Cytophagia; Cytophagales; Hymenobacteraceae
Description: tRNA-Arg
Rfam family: tRNA
About the family: Transfer RNA (tRNA) molecules are approximately 80 nucleotides in length. Their secondary structure includes four short double-helical elements and three loops (D, anti-codon, and T loops).
Source: RNAcentral